RNAcentral lists this ribosomal RNA (508 nucleotides) under uncultured bacterium. RNAcentral's name for it is "partial 16S ribosomal RNA". It matches the Rfam family "Bacterial small subunit ribosomal RNA", at positions 28 to 523 of the family's 1533-position model. The record is from RNAcentral.
GAUGAACGCUAGCUACAGGCUUAACACAUGCAAGUCGAGGGGAAACGAUAUUGGAAGCUUGCUUCCGAUAGGCGUCGACCGGCGCACGGGUGAGUAACGCGUAUCCAACCUGCCCAUCACUUGGGGAUAACCUUGCGAAAGUAAGACUAAUACCCAAUGAUAUCCGUCGAAGACAUCUGAAGUGGAGUAAAGAUUCAUCGGUGAUGGAUGGGGAUGCGUCUGAUUAGCUUGUUGGCGGGGUAACGGCCCACCAAGGCGACGAUCAGUAGGGGUUCUGAGAGGAAGGUCCCCCACAUUGGAACUGAGACACGGUCCGAACUCCUACGGGAGGCAGCAGUGAGGAAUAUUGGUCAAUGGACGAGAGUCUGAACCAGUCAAGUAGCGUGCAGGAUGACGGCCCUAUGGGUUGUAAACUGCUUUUAUAAGGGAAUAAAGUGAGUCUCGUGAGACUUUUUGCAUGUACCUUAUGAAUAAGGACCGGCUAAUUCCGUGCCAGCCGCCGCGGUAA